RNAcentral lists this unclassified non-coding RNA (395 nucleotides) under soil metagenome. Its description in RNAcentral is "partial contains 5.8S ribosomal RNA, internal transcribed spacer 2, and large subunit ribosomal RNA". The stretch from base 1 to 120 matches the Rfam family "5.8S ribosomal RNA", at positions 35 to 154 of the family's 154-position model. The record is from RNAcentral.
GAUGAAGAACGUAGCGAAAUGCGAUAAGUAAUGUGAAUUGCAGAAUUCAGUGAAUCAUCGAAUCUUUGAACGCACCUUGCGCCUUUUGGUAUUCCGAAAGGCACACCUGUUUGAGCGUCAUGAAUACCUCAAUCUCCAUCUUUUCUUCGGAUUGAUGGGUGACUUGGAUGUUGAGCCCUGCUGGUAUGCUAUAUCAGCUGGCUUUAAACUUAUUAGCCGGCUCUGUACUGGAUCGGUUUGACUCGACGUGAUAAUAUUAUCGUUGAGGAUGCAUGUCUCAUGCAGCCGGAAAGUAUCAAAGCAGAUUCGAGCUUGCCUUUAGUGCACUUUUACAUUUUAGACCUCAGAUCAGGUGGGACUACCCGCUGAACUUAAGCAUAUCAAUAAGCGGAGGA